GAUGAACGCUGGCGGCGUGCCUAAUACAUGCAAGUCGAGCGAACAGACGAGGAGCUUGCUCCUCUGACGUUAGCGGCGGACGGGUGAGUAACACGUGGAUAACCUACCUAUAAGACUGGGAUAACUUCGGGAAACCGGAGCUAAUACCGGAUAAUAUAUUGAACCGCAUGGUUCAAUAGUGAAAGACGGUUUUGCUGUCACUUAUAGAUGGAUCCCCGCCGCAUUAGCUAGUUGGUAAGGUAACGGCUUACCAAGGCAACGAUGCGUAGCCGACCGGAGAGGGUGAUAGCCCACACUGGAACUGGGACACGGUCCAGACGCCUACGGGAGGCAGCAGUAGGGAAUCGUCCGCAAUGGGCGAAAGCCUGACGGAGCAACGCCGCGUGAGUGAUGAAGGUCUUCGGAUCGUAAAACUCUGUUAUUAGGGAAGAACAAAUGUGUAAGUAACUAUGCACGUCUUGACGGUACCUAAUCAGAAAGCCACGGCUAACUACGUG
Molecule: ribosomal RNA, 497 nt
Filed under: uncultured bacterium
Lineage: Bacteria
Description: partial 16S ribosomal RNA
Rfam family: Bacterial small subunit ribosomal RNA
Source: RNAcentral